This 1216-nucleotide ribosomal RNA is filed under the name uncultured Rhizaria. RNAcentral describes it as "SSU rRNA". It matches the Rfam family "Eukaryotic small subunit ribosomal RNA", at positions 577 to 1804 of the family's 1831-position model. The record is from RNAcentral.
CGGUAAUUCCAGCUCCAGUAGCGUGUACUAAAGUUGUUGCAGUUAAAAAGCUCGUAGUUGGAUUUCUGCGGGGACGGAGCGGCCGGACGCAACUUGCGUCUCGAGCUAGCGCUUUCCCCGCAUCCUGCCGCGAACCGUGCUACCAUUAGUUUGGUGGCGCUGGGGAUCGGCUCGAUUACUUUGAGAAAAAUAGAGUGUUCAAGGCAGGCCACACGCCUUGAAUAAGUUAGCAUGGAAUAAUGACUAAGGACUUUGGUUCUUUUCGUUGGUGUUCGGGACUGAAGUAAUGAUUGAUGGGGACAGUUGGGGCGGUCCGUAUUCCAAAGCGAGAGGUGAAAUUCUUAGACCUUCGGAAGACGAACAGCUGCGAAAGCGUUCCGCAAGGAUGUUCCCUUUGAUCAAGAACGAAAGUUGGGGGAUCGAAGACGAUCAGAUACCGUCGUAGUCUCAACUAUAAACUAUACCAGCUAGGGAUCGGCCAACGUUUAAUUAUUCGACUUGGUCGGCACCUUAUGAGAAAUCAAAGCAUCUGGGUUCCGGGGGGAGUAUGGUCGCAAGGCUGAAACUUAAAGGAAUUGACGGAAGGGCACCACCAGGCGUGGAGCCUGUGGCUUAAUUUGACUCAACACGGGAAAACUUACCAGGUCCAGACAUAGGAAGGACUGACAGAUUGAUAGCUCCUUCUUGAUUCUGUGGGUGGUGGUGCAUGGCCGUUUUUAGUCGGUGAAGUGAUUUGUCUGCUUAAUUGCGUUAACGGACGAGACCCCAGCCUGCUAAAUAGCGCGGCCGAGCUUUGCUCGGUACGAGCUUCUUAGAGGGACCAUGAUGCGCGAUAGCACAAGGAAGUUUGGGGCAACAACAGGUCUGUGAUGCCCUUAGAUGUUCUGGGCCGCACACGGGCUACACUGGCGCCUGCAACGAGCAUAUCAGCUGGCCCGAGAGGGUCUUGGCUAAUCUUUGGAACCGGCGCCGUGCUUGGGAUUGACCAUUGCAAUUGUUGGUCAUGCAACGAGGAAUGCCUUGUAAACGCGAGUCAUCAGCUCGCAUUGAAUACGUCCCUGCCCUUUGUACACACCGCCCGUCGCUCCUACCGAUGAAUGUUCCGAUGAAAUUUUCGGAGAGCGCCGGAGAACGGGGCUCUGCCCUGCAGAACUGGAGGCUCAAAGUCACUUAAAUCUGAACAUUUCGAGGAAGGAGAAGUCGUAACAAGGUAACC